RNAcentral lists this ribosomal RNA (425 nucleotides) under uncultured Devosia sp. RNAcentral describes it as "bacterial SSU rRNA". It matches the Rfam family "Bacterial small subunit ribosomal RNA", at positions 957 to 1382 of the family's 1533-position model. The record is from RNAcentral. Lineage: Bacteria; Pseudomonadati; Pseudomonadota; Alphaproteobacteria; Hyphomicrobiales; Devosiaceae.
CAACGCGAAGAACCUUACCAACCCUUGACAUGGCAGACGAUUUCCAGAGAUGGAUCUCUUCACGUUCGGUGACCUGCACACAGGUGCUGCAUGGCUGUCGUCAGCUCGUGUCGUGAGAUGUUGGGUUAAGUCCCGCAACGAGCGCAACCCUCGCCCCUAGUUGCCAUCAUUUAGUUGGGCACUCUAAGGGGACUGCCGGUGAUAAGCCGGAGGAAGGUGGGGAUGACGUCAAGUCUUCAUGGCCCUUACGGGUUGGGCUACACACGUGCUACAAUGGCGGUGACAGAGGGCAGCCACUUCGCGAGAAGGAGCUAAUCCCUAAAAGCCGUCUCAGUUCGGAUUGCACUCUGCAACUCGAGUGCAUGAAGUCGGAAUCGCUAGUAAUCGCAGAUCAGCACGCUGCGGUGAAUACGUUCCCGGGCCUU